CCUUUUCUGUUGGAGUACAUCUGAUUCCCGCACUAAUGUGAGUUAUGGGAUCUCAUGUACUUUUAUAGGUGAUUUA
This 76-nucleotide microRNA precursor is filed under the name Heligmosomoides polygyrus. RNAcentral describes it as "microRNA hpo-mir-10065a precursor". Lineage: Eukaryota; Metazoa; Nematoda; Chromadorea; Rhabditida; Heligmosomidae. The record is from miRBase by way of RNAcentral.